GAAAUGCGAUAAGUAAUGUGAAUUGCAGAAUUCAGUGAAUAAUCGAAUCUUUGAACGCACCUUGCGCUCCUUGGUAUUCCUUGGAGCAUGCCUGUUUGAGUAUCAUGAAAUCUUCAAAGUAAAUCUUUUGUUAACUCAAUUGGUUUCUACUUUGGUAUUGGAGGUCUUUGCAGCUUCACACCUGCUCCUCUUUGUUCAUUAGCUGGAUCUCAGUGUUAUGCUUGGUUCCACUCGGCGUGAUAAGUUAUCUAUCGCUGAGGACACUGUAAAAGGUGGCCAAGGUAAAUGCAGAUGAACCGCUUCUAAUAGUCCAUUGACUUGGACAAUACUUUUAUGAUCUGAUCUCAAAUCAGGUAGGACUACCCGCUGAACUUAAGC
Molecule: unclassified non-coding RNA, 378 nt
Filed under: plant metagenome
Description: partial contains 5.8S ribosomal RNA, internal transcribed spacer 2, and large subunit ribosomal RNA
Rfam family: 5.8S ribosomal RNA (bases 1-105)
Source: RNAcentral